This 2909-nucleotide ribosomal RNA is filed under the name Salmonella enterica subsp. enterica serovar Dublin. Its description in RNAcentral is "23S ribosomal RNA". It matches the Rfam family "Bacterial large subunit ribosomal RNA". Lineage: Bacteria; Pseudomonadati; Pseudomonadota; Gammaproteobacteria; Enterobacterales; Enterobacteriaceae. The record is from RNAcentral.
GGUUAAGCGACUAAGCGUACACGGUGGAUGCCCUGGCAGUCAGAGGCGAUGAAGGGCGUGCUAAUCUGCGAUAAGCGCCGGUAAGGUGAUAUGAACCGUUAUAACCGGCGAUACCCGAAUGGGGAAACCCAGUGUGACUCGUCACACUAUCAUUAACUGAAUCCAUAGGUUAAUGAGGCGAACCGGGGGAACUGAAACAUCUAAGUACCCCGAGGAAAAGAAAUCAACCGAGAUUCCCCCAGUAGCGGCGAGCGAACGGGGAGGAGCCCAGAGCCUGAAUCAGCAUGUGUGUUAGUGGAAGCGUCUGGAAAGGCGCGCGAUACAGGGUGACAGCCCCGUACACAAAAGCGCAUGUGCUGUGAGCUCGAUGAGUAGGGCGGGACACGUGGUAUCCUGUCUGAAUAUGGGGGGACCAUCCUCCAAGGCUAAAUACUCCUGACUGACCGAUAGUGAACCAGUACCGUGAGGGAAAGGCGAAAAGAACCCCGGCGAGGGGAGUGAAAAAGAACCUGAAACCGUGUACGUACAAGCAGUGGGAGCACAGGUUUACCUGUGUGACUGCGUACCUUUUGUAUAAUGGGUCAGCGACUUAUAUUCUGUAGCAAGGUUAACCGAAUAGGGGAGCCGGAGGGAAACCGAGUCUUAAUUGGGCGUUAAGUUGCAGGGUAUAGACCCGAAACCCGGUGAUCUAGCCAUGGGCAGGUUGAAGGUUGGGUAACACUAACUGGAGGACCGAACCGACUAAUGUUGAAAAAUUAGCGGAUGACCUGUGGCUGGGGGUGAAAGGCCAAUCAAACCGGGAGAUAGCUGGUUCUCCCCGAAAGCUAUUUAGGUAGCGCCUCGUGAAUUCAUCUCCGGGGGUAGAGCACUGUUUCGGCUAGGGGGCCAUCCCGGCUUACCAACCCGAUGCAAACUGCGAAUACCGGAGAAUGUUAUCACGGGAGACACACGGCGGGUGCUAACGUCCGUCGUGAAGAGGGAAACAACCCAGACCGCCAGCUAAGGUCCCAAAGUCAUGGUUAAGUGGGAAACGAUGUGGGAAGGCCCAGACAGCCAGGAUGUUGGCUUAGAAGCAGCCAUCAUUUAAAGAAAGCGUAAUAGCUCACUGGUCGAGUCGGCCUGCGCGGAAGAUGUAACGGGGCUAAACCAUGCACCGAAGCUGCGGCAGCGACGCUUAUGCGUUGUUGGGUAGGGGAGCGUUCUGUAAGCCUGCGAAGGUGGCCUGUGAGGGUUGCUGGAGGUAUCAGAAGUGCGAAUGCUGACAUAAGUAACGAUAAAGCGGGUGAAAAGCCCGCUCGCCGGAAGACCAAGGGUUCCUGUCCAACGUUAAUCGGGGCAGGGUGAGUCGACCCCUAAGGCGCGAGGCCGAAAGGCGUAGUCGAUGGGAAACGGGUUAAUAUUCCCGUACUUGGUGUUACUGCGAAGGGGGACGGAGAAGGCUAUGUUGGCCGGGCGACGGUUGUCCCGGUUUAAGCGUGUAGGUGUGUGUUCCAGGUAAAUCCGGUUCACUUUAACACUGAGGCGUGAUGACGAGGCACUACGGUGCUGAAGUAACAAAUGCCCUGCUUCCAGGAAAAGCCUCUAAGCAUCAGGUAACAUCAAAUCGUACCCCAAACCGACACAGGUGGUCAGGUAGAGAAUACCAAGGCGCUUGAGAGAACUCGGGUGAAGGAACUAGGCAAAAUGGUGCCGUAACUUCGGGAGAAGGCACGCUGACACGUAGGUGAAGUGAUUUACUCACGGAGCUGAAGUCAGUCGAAGAUACCAGCUGGCUGCAACUGUUUAUUAAAAACACAGCACUGUGCAAACACGAAAGUGGACGUAUACGGUGUGACGCCUGCCCGGUGCCGGAAGGUUAAUUGAUGGGGUCAGCGCAAGCGAAGCUCCUGAUCGAAGCCCCGGUAAACGGCGGCCGUAACUAUAACGGUCCUAAGGUAGCGAAAUUCCUUGUCGGGUAAGUUCCGACCUGCACGAAUGGCGUAAUGAUGGCCAGGCUGUCUCCACCCGAGACUCAGUGAAAUUGAACUCGCUGUGAAGAUGCAGUGUACCCGCGGCAAGACGGAAAGACCCCGUGAACCUUUACUAUAGCUUGACACUGAACAUUGAGCCUUGAUGUGUAGGAUAGGUGGGAGGCUUUGAAGUGUGGACGCCAGUCUGCAUGGAGCCGACCUUGAAAUACCACCCUUUAAUGUUUGAUGUUCUAACGUGGACCCGUUACCCGGGUUGCGGACAGUGUCUGGUGGGUAGUUUGACUGGGGCGGUCUCCUCCUAAAGAGUAACGGAGGAGCACGAAGGUUGGCUAAUCCUGGUCGGACAUCAGGAGGUUAGUGCAAUGGCAUAAGCCAGCUUGACUGCGAGCGUGACGGCGCGAGCAGGUGCGAAAGCAGGUCAUAGUGAUCCGGUGGUUCUGAAUGGAAGGGCCAUCGCUCAACGGAUAAAAGGUACUCCGGGGAUAACAGGCUGAUACCGCCCAAGAGUUCAUAUCGACGGCGGUGUUUGGCACCUCGAUGUCGGCUCAUCACAUCCUGGGGCUGAAGUAGGUCCCAAGGGUAUGGCUGUUCGCCAUUUAAAGUGGUACGCGAGCUGGGUUUAGAACGUCGUGAGACAGUUCGGUCCCUAUCUGCCGUGGGCGCUGGAGAACUGAGGGGGGCUGCUCCUAGUACGAGAGGACCGGAGUGGACGCAUCACUGGUGUUCGGGUUGUCAUGCCAAUGGCACUGCCCGGUAGCUAAAUGCGGAAGAGAUAAGUGCUGAAAGCAUCUAAGCACGAAACUUGCCCCGAGAUGAGUUCUCCCUGAGACUUAAAGUCUCCUGAAGGAACGUUGAAGACGACGACGUUGAUAGGCCGGGUGUGUAAGCGCAGCGAUGCGUUGAGCUAACCGGUACUAAUGAACCGUGAGGCUUAACCCU